This is a long non-coding RNA of Gavialis gangeticus (Gharial), 727 nucleotides long. RefSeq lists it as uncharacterized. The record is from RefSeq and is a predicted model, not a curated record. NCBI's taxonomy places the organism in Eukaryota, Metazoa, Chordata, Crocodylia, Gavialidae. The transcript has 3 exons.
UCCUCAAACAAACAAAAAAAAUAAAUCAAAGUGCAGGGCCAAGUACAGAUAUUAUCGAUUGUUCCGCAACCUUUCUGCAGACCACCUGAAUGGAGGCUGUGGACCAGUUUGAGAACCUCUGCACUAGGGUGUGUGUCAAGAUUUUGUGCAUGGGGCUUGUGGGAUGGAGGGUGGGAUUUCCAAAAUGGCUGCAGAAUUUAAACAUCCAAUUCCAAUCAUUUGUCAAUGGGAUUUUGGAGCCCAUUUCUUCCAUGUCUCUCAAAGUCCCAGGUGAUGGCUUUCUGCAGAAUAGAGGAAAAAGGAAUUCUAAGUGUUCUUUCAAAGUCGGCAGACUGUUCAGCUUCAGAGUUUUCAGCCAGCCUGCAACAGAUAAGUAGAUAAAAGUAGCACCACAACUCAUCCUUGAAAAGUUUAGCCCUUCCCAAGAAGAGGGUCCAACCUCAAGGGCAAAAAAUCAGGCAUCUUAAGAAAACUUUCAAGCAAGGAAAAAUACUUUUAUACCUUUGACUACUUGUCAGAGUGAAAUCAAAGUCCUGUAAUCAAGCCUCAAAAUAGUCUAUGAAGAAAAAGUAGUAAGUCUUUUUUCCAUUUUAGAAAGGGAAAUAUUCUGUGAAAAAAACCCCAAACCAAAACAAAAAACUUUAAGACAGUGGUUCUUGGCCUCUUCCAUAUCAACCUUUCAUGCUACAAAAGAAAAGCAUUGCAACUAACCAUCAGGAAAAAAAAA